Molecule: ribosomal RNA, 440 nt
Filed under: uncultured Brevundimonas sp.
Lineage: Bacteria; Pseudomonadati; Pseudomonadota; Alphaproteobacteria; Caulobacterales; Caulobacteraceae
Description: bacterial SSU rRNA
Rfam family: Bacterial small subunit ribosomal RNA
Source: RNAcentral
CCUCCGGGCGGCAGCAGUGGGGAAUAUUGGACAAUGGGCGAAAGCCUGAUCCAGCCAUGCCGCGUGAAUGAUGAAGGUCUUAGGAUUGUAAAAUUCUUUCACCGGGGACGAUAAUGACGGUACCCGGAGAAGAAGCCCCGGCUAACUUCGUGCCAGCAGCCGCGGUAAUACGAAGGGGGCUAGCGUUGCUCGGAAUUACUGGGCGUAAAGGGAGCGUAGGCGGAGAUUUAAGUCAGGGGUGAAAUCCCGGGGAUAAAUAACGGAAUUGACAUUGAUACUGGGUGUAUUGAGUAUGAGAGAGGUGUGUGGAACUCCGAGUGUAGAGGUGAAAUUCGUAGAUAUUGGGAAGAACACCAGUGGCGAAGGCGACACACUGGCUCAUUACUGACGCUGAGGCUCGAAAGCGUGGGGAGCAAACAGGAUUAGAUACCCUUGUAGUC